This 254-nucleotide ribosomal RNA is filed under the name uncultured bacterium. RNAcentral describes it as "partial 16S ribosomal RNA". It matches the Rfam family "Bacterial small subunit ribosomal RNA", at positions 524 to 776 of the family's 1533-position model. The record is from RNAcentral.
CACGUAGGGUGCGAGCGUUGUCCGGAAUUAUUGGGCGUAAAGAGCUCGUAGGCGGUCUGUCGCGUCGAUCGUGAAAACUUGGGGCUUAACCCUGAGCUUGCGGUCGAUACGGGCAUGACUGGAGUUCGGCAGGGGAGACUGGAAUUCCUGGUGUAGCGGUGAAAUGCGCAGAUAUCAGGAGGAACACCGGUGGCGAAGGCGGGUCUCUGGGCCGGAACUGACGCUGAGGUGCGAAAGCGUGGGGAGCAAACAGG